AAUCGGUAAAAAUACCUAAUGUUCAUAAGUACAUGUUAGAGUGGGAAUUUGAUGUUGCCAUAGAAGGGAAAAAUGUUCAGAAUGUUAUAAAACAUAAGAAUAAGAGAUGAAGUUUAAUUUCCGAGCCUUGGGGCAAAAAUGUAAUUUUGUAAAAGUUUAGGGGCAAAAUUGUAAUUUUGAAAAAGUUAGAGUCGAGGGCUGUUUUGAUGAAUGUGAUUAUUAAAUAAGUUAAAUUUACUAUUUUAGAUCAAAAAGUACGAAACUCGAGGUUAGACAAAGGGAAGAAUAAAGUUGAAGACUAAGUUGGUGAAUUUGGCUAUAAUUGGUACCGAGUAUUGCAAAGCUACUUCAAGGAUCCUAAAGAAGUCGGAGAUCGUCCACACUAUCAACUACAACUGCUCGGUAUUUUAUAUCGAAACACGUUUGAGUUAUGGCAUGUAUAGGGAUUUAGUUAUUUUGUAUGUUUGUAAUGAUGAUUUUGCUAAUGAGUGAUGUGUAAGUAUUUGAUGAUGUAUGGUCAUUAAAAUGGUUAAGGAUGAAGGUGUUUGUUGUUAUGAAA
Long non-coding RNA from Gossypium raimondii (Peruvian cotton), 559 nucleotides. RefSeq lists it as uncharacterized. The transcript has 2 exons. NCBI's taxonomy places the organism in Eukaryota, Viridiplantae, Streptophyta, Magnoliopsida, Malvales, Malvaceae. The record is from RefSeq and is a predicted model, not a curated record.